This is a long non-coding RNA of Myotis davidii, 3941 nucleotides long. RefSeq lists it as uncharacterized. The record is from RefSeq and is a predicted model, not a curated record. The transcript has 5 exons. NCBI's taxonomy places the organism in Eukaryota, Metazoa, Chordata, Mammalia, Chiroptera, Vespertilionidae.
GUCUGUGAUUGUGUGAUGGGCACGGCCAGUGUCCUGGCUGCACCAUCGGGACGAGCCUGUCUGCAGAGGCUCCCUGGUUGCCGGUCCAGGCCCACACUCAGCAUUCACACUCUGUGACCGUAACGUCACUCGACACAAGACCCUCGAUGAACCAUGUGUCUGUCUUUAAAGACCUCAGUGUCUCCGGAGUCUGCCUGGCUCUUUAUUUGGUUCUUACAUAAAACAGCACUAAAUCUCCCAAGGCACGGACACUUCGAGCUUCUCGCACUGCCUGCUUCCUGAAGCCACACCGUGCACACUCAGCACCUGUGGGCACACCAGGCCCAGCACACCCCUGCCUGCUGUCUCGGUCUUGCUCCCAGUUCCGUGGGGGACGGCCCCAGGGCUUCCUGCAAAAGGGAAAUCAGCAGGCAGAUCUCUUGCCAGAUCAUGUCUGAUAACACCCGUGUCCCACCCUCAGUGUGACGGACGGCUUGCAUGGAGCUGGGGCUCCACGGUGGGCGUCGUUCCUCCUCGGAACACGGGCUCCGUGAGCAGGCGCUGAGCCGCGUGCAUGUGCGAAGUGCUGGUUUGUGGGGCCAGCUGAGAGCCCCAGAUUGUGUCUCCAAAGCAAUUAUAUUUCUAAACAUGUUCAAAGUUAUUUUUAACCAUUUAUAGUCCUUCCUGGUUUUCACUGCUCAGAGACUAUUUAAACCCGUUCUUUCUUUAUUAGAUCCAGAAAUGCAGAUAAGGACACUUGCUGCAAAUUGUGAAUGAAAGGGAGCGGGCAUUCACCAAAAGACUACCCUCCAGCUCUGCUAGGUACGCUCACCUGUUUCCAUGUCGGUGCAGGUGAGGGGUUGCCUGUGCCUGAGACAACGUGGACCCACAACACCAGGUGAGACAGGCGGUGGGUGGGCUGGCACCCGCCUGAAAGAGAAAGGGCCACCAGCUCAGGAGAGGAGCCCGUGGGCCACACAUGGGGGCGGGGGGAGCGGGGGUAGAAUGUCCCUGGUGCUAACGAUCAAAACCCACAGAAAUGUCUGCCCGGAGGCUGCUCUGGCAGAGAAUGAAAUGUCGCAGGAAAGAACUGGGCCCGUUCCAAACACUGUUGGUCAUGAACCCGCAAAUACUCUAACUGCCACGAGCUGGUGCAGAUUCGCACAGACGCACCAUCAUCCACAGGAACCACUGAUGAGAGGGAUUCACCCUCCAGCUCAGUCAGCAUCCAGCGGAACCAGGACAUGAACCCUGACUCACCCCGACCGGUGGAGGGCACUAGGCUAUCACCAGAUGUUAUCAGUACUUGCAGGCUUGCCCAUACCUUACGGACUAAGGUAAGGAACAAAAAGUUUUCACACACAAAUAAUACAUGUUUUUAACACUUCAUGCAUAAAUGAGAGGAGAAAUUUCCAUUGAAUAACAUUUUGGAGCCCCCCAAUCAUUUUUUAGCAUAAAAUUCAGGGUUCCUAAGAAACAACCCAACUGCUGGUGGCUAAACUAUAUUUGUCCUCAUGCCUCAGAGUCUCAGAGCACAAUGUUUUAUUUAUGGGAACGCUAUAUAAAACUCGGAAAAUGGAACAAAAACAAACAGAUAUGGUUUGCUUUUCCAGUCAUGAGAGUUCAAAACUCACCCCUCCAUGUGCUCACGGAACCUUGGAAAACAAAACCAGGGCAGUCGCGGGAGGCAGGUGGCACAGGCCAUCACAUGCCCCUUCUGAGCCAUCACACUGUUUUCUGGUGCCGGCCGCGGUUAGAAAGAGCUCCAGGUUCCGCGGGGAGUGUUCUGAGGGGGUGGGAAUAGGGUUCCUAGGCCCCAAGUCUCUAAACCAUGAAACUUGGAACAUCUGGAAACGCUGAGCUGUGCUGAAGACCGACGUGGAGAGGUCGAGGAGCCGGUGCAAAGUCUCUGCCAACCGGUUUGGCUCUCGGAAGCUAUCUCUCCAUCGAUCUACUCGUGGGAGCCGCUGGACAAACCCCGGACUCCAGGACUUGGGCCAGAGCGCGCGUUUCCUCCAGGGACUGUGCUCAGGCUUCCAGGAGACCUGGAAAGCGGGACCUGCUCACGAGGCCAAAGGGGUCGCGGCUUCCCCCAGCCCGAGCAGUUACUCCCGCGAGGGUCCUGGCUGGGAGCGAAGGGCCACCUGCGAAUCUCUUGGCGAGGAUGGAACCAGGGCCAGCCAGCCACACAUGACACAGGGGAACAAACCUGAGCAUCAAGCACAAGUGUCUCCCGUGUGAGCAUCCUCCUCCUCCGCCGCCUUUAAGAUUUAGGGAGUCACGGCUGACCUAGCAGACACAUGUGGGCUGUGGGAAAGGCAAGAACACUUUAUCCUCCACACGGACCUCCCCACGCUUCUGAAAUAAGUUGGCUUUUUCCUACGAGAACUGCAUUCCCAGUUCAAGACCAGCAACAGCACACGACCCCCGGGUUCGGCUGGAAAGACCCGUCAGGAACGACCCAGCUCAGCAGGGCAGUGGAGACGUUGCCCCCUCACACGCGUGGAAACCAGGAUUACAGAGGACACGUGACUUGUGAGCAAGGCUCGGACUUUGGACACGGCGUCUGGUCACCCACAAGCCAGGCCUCCGGGGCACAGGAGGGGACACAGCUCCCGCUGUAAACGGCGCGAGUUACCUGAAUAAACGCUCAUGAAACUUCUUUCACCGUCACUGUUUACAUGUUGUAUCUACAUGGAAGACUGCCCUGUGGAAGUUGACAUUAUACAGCCCAUGACCUUGCCUAGGGCCUCAGCCACAGAGUGAGGGACCGUCUGGAAUUUGCAUCAGGAGACUGCGGAGACCAGCACCUGGAAGGACAUUUGGGGGCCAGUCCCGCAGUGUGUGCGGUCCGGCCUGACCCCGACCAGAGGUCAGGCUCCAAUGAGGCCACAGGUGUGAUAGCCAUCGAGACCAGAUCUCACCUCAUCAGCUUCUCCCUAAAAAGUGGCGACUGUGAUGCUGCUGCUCCGACUCCCACGUCCACACGCAGCUUCAGCUCCCACUCGACACGGAGGCACGGCCGCCACGUGAGGCGCCAUGGAGGGCGGGCAGCGUGGGCACCUGGGCAGGAGCCCCGAACAGAACACAGAGCUCCCUCCCUCCCUCCCUCCCUCCCUCUCACCACACCAUCCGGUAGGUGGGGGCGGCCCAGGGCCAGGAGGGGGUCUGCACUCACAGACCAGCCCCCACACCCAGCCGCCUGCGGGCUGACGGCAGCUCUGAUCUCUAUUCCAUCUCAGUCAAGGUGUCAGUUAGCCCGAAGCCUCCAUCUCCUGGCUGUGUGGGUGGGCAGCUCUGACUCUACAACAGAAAGCAAUUCCGUUGAAAAGUGAAAAAUGCCUCGUACUUGGGUGAACGGACAUGAGUGUGCACAUAGCGGUCUCAGCACAGCAUCCUCCACUGCACAACUAGCACCACACAUUCCUCUUCCCAACCCCACAGAACCUUCGCCUACACGCUGCUUCCCUAAAACUUCAGGUGUGGAGUCCUCCGAGAGGGCCGGCGUGUUUCCUCCGUGGGUGGAGAAGAAACAGAACCCCCACCAUGUUGCACCGGGACCCUGAGUGGUACAGGGCAGACCGAGACCCUGCAGACCUGGCCCAGGGUGCAGGGAGGUUCCCCCAAGGACAUGCCACCAAGAACACACCACCAAGAACACGCUACUGAGAACCAGGAAAACAAGCCCUCAGUCUGAGGCAGCUCACGACCAUGAGGCGAUGUCCAGUGAGUGACGGAGGUGCUGGGCCUAACGAGCUUGAGCCACUGACCUGACUCCCUGCAUGUGCACGUGUGUGCUAUUUACUCAUGUGUGUACACCUACUUUACAUGCAUGCUUUUAACAAUAAUUAUAAGCAGCCACAAAAGCAAAAAGAAAACAUGAAAAUAUUCACCGUACAGUAUCCUGAGAUGGUAACAGUGUAAACUGACUCACACUCGUGCAUUCUCUGUGUGACUGCACA